RNAcentral lists this ribosomal RNA (252 nucleotides) under uncultured bacterium. RNAcentral describes it as "partial 16S ribosomal RNA". It matches the Rfam family "Bacterial small subunit ribosomal RNA", at positions 100 to 353 of the family's 1533-position model. The record is from RNAcentral.
GACGGGUGAGUAAUGUCUGGGAAACUGCCUGAUGGAGGGGGGAUAACUACUGGAAACGGUAGCUAAUACCGCAUAACGUCGCAAGACCAAAGAGGGGGACCUUCGGGCCUCUUGCCAUCAGAUGCGCCCAGAUGGGAUUAGCUAGUAGGUGGGGUAACGGCUCACCUGGGUGACGAUCCCUAGCUGGUCUGAGAGGAUGACCAGCCACACUGGAACUGAGACACGGUCCAGACUCCUACGGGAGGCAGCAUG